Molecule: ribosomal RNA, 557 nt
Filed under: uncultured bacterium
Lineage: Bacteria
Description: partial 16S ribosomal RNA
Rfam family: Bacterial small subunit ribosomal RNA
Source: RNAcentral
UGGGGAAUCUUGCGCAAUGGGCGAAAGCCUUACGCAGCCAUGCCGCGUGAAUGAUGAAGGUCUUAGGAUUGUAAAAUUCUUUCACCGGGGACGAUAAUGACGGUACCCGGAGAAGAAGCCCCGGCUAACUUCGUGCCAGCAGCCGCGGUAAUACGAAGGGGGCUAGCGUUGCUCGGAAUUACUGGGCGUAAAGGGAGCGUAGGCGGACAUUUAAGUUAGGGGUGAAAUCCCGGGGCUCAACCUCGGAAUUGCCUUUGAUACUGGGUGUCUUGAGUGUGAGAGAGGUAUGUGGAACUCCGAGUGUAGAGGUGAAAUUCGUAGAUAUUCGGAAGAACACCAGUGGCGAAGGCGACAUACUGGCUCAUUACUGACGCUGAGGCUCAAAGCGUGGGGAGCAAACAGGAUUAGAUACCCUGGUAGUCCACGCCGUAAAACGAUGAUUGCUAGUUGUCGGGAUGCAUGCAUUUCGGUGACGCAGCUAACGCAUUAAGCAAUCCGCCUGGGGAGUACGGUCGCAAGAUUAAAACUCAAAGGAAUUGACGGGGGUCAUAGCGUUU